GGCGCUUGAGGCUUUUUGCCUCAUGCGAUCGGCAGAAAUGCGGAUGUGCGGUGAGGCAGAAAGAAGAAAGCCCCGAAGGUCAAUGUUUAUUAACCAACGAGGCCUACUCACGACGCCCAAACACCGUCAGAGUAGCCUCUUACCCGCCGCAAGGCAAGGAGAAGAAAGCGAU
RNAcentral lists this antisense RNA (172 nucleotides) under Franconibacter helveticus. RNAcentral describes it as "sok antitoxin (CssrC)". It matches the Rfam family "sok antitoxin (CssrC)". Rfam says of the family: Also identified in Shigella as CssrC. The record is from RNAcentral. Lineage: Bacteria; Pseudomonadati; Pseudomonadota; Gammaproteobacteria; Enterobacterales; Enterobacteriaceae.